RNAcentral lists this non-coding RNA (19 nucleotides) under Arabidopsis thaliana (thale cress). RNAcentral also lists the same sequence under 1 other name. The record is from RNAcentral. Lineage: Eukaryota; Viridiplantae; Streptophyta; Magnoliopsida; Brassicales; Brassicaceae.
GGGUGGUGGUGCAUGGCCG